AUACUUACCUGGCAGGGGAGAUACCAUGAUCAUGAAGGUGGUUUUCCCAGCACGAGGCUUAGCCAUUGUACUCUGGAUGUGCUGACCCCUGAGAUUUCCCCAAAUGAGGGAAGCGACUGCAUAAUUUGUGGUAGUGGGGGACUGCGCCCGCUCUCCCCUG
Small nuclear RNA from Perognathus longimembris pacificus (Pacific pocket mouse), 160 nucleotides. RefSeq annotates it as U1 spliceosomal RNA. The record is from RefSeq and is a predicted model, not a curated record. Lineage: Eukaryota; Metazoa; Chordata; Mammalia; Rodentia; Heteromyidae. The transcript has a single exon.